Molecule: small nuclear RNA, 19 nt
Filed under: Arabidopsis thaliana (thale cress)
Lineage: Eukaryota; Viridiplantae; Streptophyta; Magnoliopsida; Brassicales; Brassicaceae
Description: snRNA_09730
Source: RNAcentral
GCCAAUGAUUAGAGGCAUU